GACGAACGCUGGCGGCGUGCUUAACACAUGCAAGUCGUGCGGUAAGGCCCUUUCGGGGGUCCACGAGCGGCGAACGGGUGAGUAACACGUGAGCAACCUGCCCUUCACUUUGGGAUAACUGCCGGAAACGGUGGCUAAUACCGGAUAUGACUUCCUCACGCUUGUGGGGUGGUGGAAAGCCCUCGGGUGGUGGGGGAUGGGCUCGCGGUCUAUCAGCUUGUUGGUGGGGUGAUGGCCUACCAAGGCUUCGACGGGUAGCCGGCCUGAGAGGGUGACCGGCCACACUGGGACUGAGACACGGCCCAGACGCCUACGGGAGGCAGCAGGGGGGAAUAUUGGACAAUGGGCGAAAGCCUGAUCCAGCAACGCCGCGUGAGGGAUGACGGCCUUCGGGUUGUAAACCUCUUUCGCCUGCGACGAAGCGAGAGUGACGGUAGCAGGUAAAGAAGCACCGGCCAACUACGUG
RNAcentral lists this ribosomal RNA (466 nucleotides) under uncultured bacterium. RNAcentral's name for it is "partial 16S ribosomal RNA". It matches the Rfam family "Bacterial small subunit ribosomal RNA", at positions 28 to 507 of the family's 1533-position model. The record is from RNAcentral.